RNAcentral lists this ribosomal RNA (468 nucleotides) under uncultured bacterium. RNAcentral's name for it is "partial 16S ribosomal RNA". It matches the Rfam family "Bacterial small subunit ribosomal RNA", at positions 28 to 507 of the family's 1533-position model. The record is from RNAcentral.
GAUGAACGCUGGCGGCGUGCUUAACACAUGCAAGUCGAACGGAAAGGCCGAAGCUUGCUUCGGUACUCGAGUAGCGAACGGGUGAGUAACACGUGGGUGAUCUGCCCUGUACUUCUGGAUAGGCUUGGGAAACUGGGUCUAAUACCGGAUAUGACGAUCUCUUGGAUGGGGUUGUGGAAAGCUUUUGCGGUAUGGGAUGAGCUCGCGGCCUAUCAGCUUGUUGGUGGGGUAAUGGCCUACCAAGGCGUCGACGGGUAGCCGGGCUGAGAGGGUGUACGGCCACAUUGGGACUGAGAUACGGGCCAGGCUCCCACGGGGGGGAGGAGGGGGGAAUAUUGCACAAUGGGGGCAAGCCUGAUGCAGCGACGCCGGGUGGGGGAUGACGGCCUUCGGGUUGUAAACUCCUUUCGCAAUCGACGAAGCCUUUUGGUGACGGUAGGUUGAGAAGAAGCACCGGCUAACUACGUG